Molecule: ribosomal RNA, 253 nt
Filed under: uncultured bacterium
Lineage: Bacteria
Description: partial 16S ribosomal RNA
Rfam family: Bacterial small subunit ribosomal RNA
Source: RNAcentral
UACGGAGGGGGCUAGCGUUGUUCGGAAUUACUGGGCGUAAAGCGCGCGUAGGCGGUUUACCAAGUUGGGAGUGAAAUCCCAGGGCUUAACCCUGGAAUUGCUUUCAAAACUGGUAGGCUAGAGAUCGGUAGAGGAUAGCGGAAUUCCUAGUGUAGAGGUGAAAUUCGUAGAUAUUAGGAGGAACACCGGAGGCGAAAGCGGCUAUCUGGACCGAUUCUGACGCUGAGGCGCGAAAGCGUGGGGAGCAAACAGG